Molecule: ribosomal RNA, 253 nt
Filed under: uncultured bacterium
Lineage: Bacteria
Description: partial 16S ribosomal RNA
Rfam family: Bacterial small subunit ribosomal RNA
Source: RNAcentral
UACAGAGGGUGCAAACGUUGCUCGGAAUCAUUGGGCGUAAAGCGCACGUAGGCGGCCCAGCAAGCGGGGAGUGAAAGCCCUCGGCUUAACCGAGGAAGUGCUUUCCGAACUACUGGGCUUGAAUACUGGAGAGGAUCGCGGAAUUCCCGGUGUAGAGGUGAAAUUCGUAGAUAUCGGGAGGAACACCAGUGGCGAAGGCGGCGAUCUGGACAGAUAUUGACGCUGAGGUGCGAAAGCGUGGGGAGCAAACAGG